RNAcentral lists this long non-coding RNA (205 nucleotides) under Gossypium raimondii (Peruvian cotton). RNAcentral describes it as "long non-coding RNA (GRAI_LNC004024)". Lineage: Eukaryota; Viridiplantae; Streptophyta; Magnoliopsida; Malvales; Malvaceae. The record is from RNAcentral.
AAAUUCCUGAACUAACUCAUCAUCUUAAUUUAGCCUUAUAUCACAAAACACUUCCCACUUUAGAGCUUCAACAACUUUUUGAAUGUUCAUCAUGAAAUCAGUGUAGUUACUUUUUCCCAAAGUAAAACCUUUCUCUGGAAGCAUUUGUUUUUGGUUAAAUAUGCUCCUGUAUCUUGCAUAAACUUCUUCAUAAUGGAAUUUUUUG